Molecule: long non-coding RNA, 594 nt
Filed under: Salmo salar (Atlantic salmon)
Lineage: Eukaryota; Metazoa; Chordata; Actinopteri; Salmoniformes; Salmonidae
Description: lncRNA (ENSSSAG00000082675.1)
Source: RNAcentral
GAGACAGGGAUACUGGAGUGAUGGAGGUAGAUAUGUAUAGGGGGAAGGAGACAGGGAUACUGGAGUGAUGGAGGUAGAUAUGUAUAGGGGGAAGGAGACAGGGAUACUGGAGUGAUGGAGGUAGAUAUGUAUAGGGGGAAGGAGACAGGGAUACUGGAGUGAUGGAGGUAGAUAUGUAUAGGGGGAAGGAGACAGGGAUACUGGAGUGAUGGAGGUAGAUAUGUAUAGGGGGAAGGAGACAGGGAUACUGGAGUGAUGGAGGUAGAUAUGUAUAGGGGACAGGGAUACUGGAGUGAUGGAGGUAGAUAUGUAUAGGGGUAAGGGGACAGGGAUACUGGAGUGAUGGAGGUAGAUAUGUAUAGGGGGAAGGGGACAGGGAUACUGGAGUGAUGGAGGUAGAUAUGUAUAGGGGACAGGGAUACUGGAGUGAUGGAGGUAGAUAUGUAUAGGGGACAGGGAUACUGGAGUGAUGGAGGUAGAUAUGUAUAGGGGGAAGGAGACAGGGAUACUGGAGUGAUGGAGGUAGAUAUGUAUAAGGGACAGGGAUACUGGAGUGAUGGAGGUAGAUAUGUAUAGGGGACAGGGAUACUGGAG